RNAcentral lists this long non-coding RNA (529 nucleotides) under Prunus persica (peach). RNAcentral's name for it is "long non-coding RNA (PPER_LNC002395)". The record is from RNAcentral. Lineage: Eukaryota; Viridiplantae; Streptophyta; Magnoliopsida; Rosales; Rosaceae.
GGAGACCAAAAUGUAAAAGAACGAAAAGUAAAAUGAUUAGGAGUCCUUAUGUAACGACUCGGUCCUAAAUAAAUUGGUAAAUAUUAAUUUAUUCAGAGAAAAGACCAUUUUUGCCCAUAGAAUAUUUUUAUUAGGUUUAAAGUUGACUUUUUGACCGAGAAUGAAAUUGAGAAUUUCUGCUGUACCGUUGCGUAGAGCUCAAUGCGAUGAGUCCGUUGACACGUAAUAGGCUCAAUUUGGAGUUGUAACAAGAAAGUUACGAUCAAAAGAAACUCAGUGGCACAAUCGUAAUUAUUUCGAAAUGGAAUUUUUAUAAAAACAGAAAAUUAUCUCUCUCUCUCUCUCUCUCUCUCUCUCUCUCUCUCUAUCUCUCUCUCCCUCCCGUGUGGGCCCUCCCCCUCCCCGUACACACAAUGGCGACGGUUUUACCGUCGCCACCGCUUGCUCCGGCCACUGCUUGGGGUGGCACCGGUCCCAAAAGGACCGCCAGCUCUUCCUCCUUCCAUCCCUCUCCAUCCCCGACACCGGC